AAAACAGAAGACUUCUGCAAAUGCGGAUGAGACCGUGGAACUUGUGACAAACAACAACAAUCCAUUGGCAGUGGAAGACGAUCGUCCCUACGACCAGGAGGAAGCCCACGCUGGAACAGCGGCUGCAGAGAAAACCGCCGCUGAACUCGACAGCGAGUCAAAGGACGUGGAGUACGCCAACAUCGACUUCUCUCUGCUAAAAAGAAAGACUCCUCUGGAUGAAGCGAGGACAGAUGAGAGCACGAAGACAGAGUACGCCGAAAUCAAAAAAGAGGUAAUAGAAGAAAGGGAGGAUGACGGCAGGGAGGAAAGUGAAAUGCUGGAGAGGGAAGAGGAAGUGGAGGCGAAGGAGGGAGAGGAGGAAGCAGCUGAGAUGGAGGCGGUGUACUCCAAUGUGAAGGAAGUCAUGAAUGAGAUCUGAAGACCGUUUCACUUUGCUGCAGCCUCAGGCUCCCAGAUUCCACCGGAUAAGAUAGAUUCAUAUCAUCAGCUGAUGGUGGGUUGGACUUUUGAUGAACCAUUUGUACAGUUUCUACAUCAGAACUGGGACCUUUUAACCACUGAACUGUGUUUAACGGAAUAAAAUCAGUCGAACGGGAGGAGAUUGAUAUUCUAACCAGUCAACUAAGUGUGAACGGGUUGGUUCAUGGAGUUUAGGCUGCUCUGCUUCACUGUAUGACGCUUCUUUUCAGAACAUGUCAGCAUUUCCAGUAAUAUUCCAGCAAAUUCAACUCAAAGAUUAGUUUGUAAAGAUACAUUAAUAGUUUGUAAAGACCAGUUAUUUUUAUAUUAUGCUUGAAUUGUUUGGUAUUUUUUUAGUCUUGCCUUAAAGAUGUUUUUGGAGUUAGCUUGAAAUGAAAAAGCUGUAGCGAUGGGUUUAUUAUGGGAUUAUGUGGGAGGUCACUUUAUGACGGGGGAUUAUAAUAAUCUCAGUUUCACAAUCGAUUUUCAGCUUUUGGUUUCAGCUUUGGCUUCAUCAUCUGAGACGGAAAAGUUAAAACUUAAUAAAAAGGAAUUUUAAACUUAUUUUCUAUCCAAACUUGGAUUUUUCUAGCACUCUUCUCUCUGUGUUGUUGUUGACAAACCUUCCUGUGCUGUGACAAUCUGUAAACACAGACUUCAAAGAUUAAUGUGAAUAAUGACACUUUUCUUGUCAUAAAACACCUUUUCUGAAUAGCCCAAAGGAGGCCUUGCUUUUGAUUAUUUCUGACUAAAACAAAACCUUUUUGCCAUUUUUCAGAGUGUCAGGUACUUCGUUUGCAAAAUACAGACAAUAAAUGAAUUCUGAUUCAUUUUUAAUCCUUUUAUUGUCGAUAUUUUUAUCUUGUGAAGUAUUUAAAAUAGCUCAGGGCUCAUAUAAGAAAAC
Molecule: long non-coding RNA, 1366 nt
Filed under: Salarias fasciatus (jewelled blenny)
Lineage: Eukaryota; Metazoa; Chordata; Actinopteri; Blenniiformes; Blenniidae
Description: lncRNA (ENSSFAG00005003981.1)
Source: RNAcentral